UGAAAAGUUGACACAAGACGCACGAGGGACAAAAGGCAGUCCCAGAAUACCUCAACAUUUGGAUUGACCAGAUUUGUAUCAACAUGGGCAAUAAUUCAGGGUAAGGGGACACAAACAAACGUGAUAAACAGGAUGCUGG
Molecule: long non-coding RNA, 139 nt
Organism: Dreissena polymorpha
Lineage: Eukaryota; Metazoa; Mollusca; Bivalvia; Myida; Dreissenidae
Exons: 3
Source: RefSeq, a predicted model, not a curated record